GGAGGACUUUGCUAUGGGCCCUGAGGUGUUGGCAGGGAUGGGGGCUCUAAGCUGAAAGAAGUUUCCCUAGAGGAAAAGGUCACCAAAAACCGCUCACAACCUCCACUACCCUCCAGCAAAGCCUUCGGUCACCCAAGUGCCAGAUGAGCCUGGAAAGGGACAGUAGUUACCCUACAAGCAAUACCCACCAAGACUCUAUGGAGGCUUCUUUGAAGAAAAAUAAAUAAGCCAGGAUACAGACACACACCCCACCACCUUCAAGAGGAAGAAUGUAGGUCAGCAUCUUUGCCACUACUCUAUGUGAAACAGCCUAUGAUCUUGGCAAAAACUAGUAACCACAAGCCCAUCCCAUCCCACUAAAAAUCCCACCACCUUCCCAUAGCUCUCAGCUUCAGUAAGAAAAGCCAGCAAGAAAAGGACUUUCUUCCUCCUUUCAAUCUGCUCCCCGGCUGUUUGAAUUACACUUAAGACUUCACUGACAAACAUACAUCAGCUUUUGCUCCCACAAGGGCAGCGGAAGCCAAGCAGGGACUCUAAGUCUGCUUCACGCAUCAUUGACAGAACCAACCCUGUUCCAAUUGCUGAAGUCUUAAGAGCAGCAAUGACCUAGAAAUUGACAGUGGGGGGAGAACUGAAGGAAAGGAAACUGACAAACCAGUACACAGAAAACCCUAUUUCCAAAUACCAGGGGAAAGAGAGAGAAAGGAGGUAGAGGGGAAAGAGAUUUGGCCCCUUUGAAUCUGCAAAUGUGAUCUUGGCUCAGAGCCAUGGAGGAUACACAGCAGCCCCAUUGCGAGUCAAGCCAUGUUCCUGACUCAAACCCUACAGUUAAGAGGAAGGCGCCAAGCCUCAAACACAACGAGGUGGGGAGGCCGCUCCUUUUUGGGCAGGAUCCUACUGUGGACACAGAACAGACAGCAGCUGCCCACAGUGUGGAAACAAACUGUAAAGCAGUCACGUCUCUUAAGGCUGCAGCAUCCAAUAAAAUGUAAUUUAAAUCAAGCCUUGCAUCUGUUCUCAAUCCCAUUCAGUCUCUGCUUUCCAUCAGCCUUCGGACAAUCUUUGCAAUUAUGCUUGUUAACCCUUAUAGCCCCGGACACUUUCCAAGCUUCUAGGUAUAGAACUGUGUUCUCCACUCACACAUUACCCUCUCUCCAUAGCCAAGGGAGGGAAUGAAUGCUCUAAUAAAGGAGUGUGAGGGUGAGAAUGACAUUCAGACUCCUGUCUACAGACUAUGCUCAGCUACACACACUAGUGGGGAGUUUUCAUUUCAGAGGGCUCUGUGUGCCCUUCUAUCCCACACCACCUGCUGUAGCCCAGAUCACAUUGCAAGGAUACAGUGGGC
This 1345-nucleotide long non-coding RNA is filed under the name Equus asinus (donkey). RNAcentral's name for it is "lncRNA (ENSEASG00005031453.1)". Lineage: Eukaryota; Metazoa; Chordata; Mammalia; Perissodactyla; Equidae. The record is from RNAcentral.